GACGUCGCGUUUAUUCCACGCCGCACCGUCCUUUCCAGAACCCUCUGGUCUCCGCGUGCGGCGGCGCGAUUUCUUUGCUUCUCCCUUCCACUUCGAGAGAUUGUUGAUUAUUCUAGAGCCAGAUCCGGGUAACAGAUUCGAGUUUGCGCCCGCCCUGUUCGGCUUCAGAUAUGGGGAACACUACAUCUGUGCAAGCUGAGGCUUCAGAUUCAGCGCAGAAACCUGCCACAACAGCUCCUGCACCUGGGUCAAAGCCGAAAAAGAUCUGCUGUGCUUGCCCAGAUACAAAGAAGCUGAGGGACGAUUGCAUCGUGCAGAAUGGCGAGGAUGCCUGCGGAAAGCUCAUCGAAGCCCACCUGAAAUGCCUGAGAGCCGAAGGGUUCAGCGUCUGACGUGGUGCUCCAUCAUGGCAACUCCACACACCUGUUUCUGCAGUAAUCUGAUUUUGAUCAUGAACAGUGUGAUGAAUAAGGACUUCUGGUAGAGUGAUAGAAACAACUCGCAGUUUUAUUUCUAGACUGGAAGGAGGAAAUCCCCUGAACAUUGCCAGUUUGCAAGAGUUUUUCUAUCUUUUUUCAAUGCAUUUAGUGCCACACAUAUCUGCAAUUCUGGAUAAUACUUUAUGGAGCAUAUGUAUAUGGAAAUUGCUUUUUUUUGGUCCACUGUUUGGAGAUUGAGCACCACACUGUAUGGAACAACUGUUGCAAAAGUUUUCUACUGGCUAGAGCUUUCAGUCACUUAAUCCAGUGAUGUAUGAAUGAAGAAGAUAUUACCCUC
Zea mays is the source of this 777-nucleotide long non-coding RNA. RefSeq lists it as uncharacterized. The transcript has 2 exons. The record is from RefSeq and is a predicted model, not a curated record. NCBI's taxonomy places the organism in Eukaryota, Viridiplantae, Streptophyta, Magnoliopsida, Poales, Poaceae.